AUGCAAGUCGAGCGGGCCCUUCGGGGUCAGCGGCAGACGGGUGAGUAACGCGUGGGAACGUACCAUUUACUACGGAAUAACUCAGGGAAACUUGUGCUAAUACCGUAUGAGCCCCCCUUUAAAAUUUCAGGAAUCAUAAAAUGCCCUGGCAUUUUAUGGGGGGGAAAGAUUUAUCGGCAAAUGAUCGGCCCGCGUUGGAUUAGCUAGUUGGUGGGGUAAAGGCCUACCAAGGCGACGAUCCAUAGCUGGUCUGAGAGGAUGAUCAGCCACACUGGGACUGAGACACGGCCCAGACUCCUACGGGAGGCAGCAGUGGGGAAUAUUGGACAAUGGGCGCAAGCCUGAUCCAGCCAUGCCGCGUGAGUGAUGAAGGCCCUAGGGUUGUAAAGCUCUUUCACCGGUGAAGAUAAUGACGGUAACCGGAGAAGAAGCCCCGGCUAACUUCGUGCCAGCAGCCGCGGUAAUACGAAGGGGGCUAGCGUUGUUCGGAUUUACUGGGCGUAAAGCGCACGUAGGCGGGCUAAUAAGUCAGGGGUGAAAUCCCGGGGCUCAACCCCGGAACUGCCUUUGAUACUGUUAGUCUUGAGUAUGGUAGAGGUGAGUGGAAU
Molecule: ribosomal RNA, 608 nt
Filed under: uncultured bacterium
Lineage: Bacteria
Description: bacterial SSU rRNA
Rfam family: Bacterial small subunit ribosomal RNA
Source: RNAcentral